This 55-nucleotide transfer RNA is filed under the name Rhipicephalus sanguineus (brown dog tick). RNAcentral's name for it is "tRNA-Phe". Lineage: Eukaryota; Metazoa; Arthropoda; Arachnida; Ixodida; Ixodidae. The record is from RNAcentral.
UUUUUAUAGUUUAAGUAAAAUAUUACACUGAAAAUGUAAAGAUAAUUGUUAAAAA